Molecule: transfer RNA, 73 nt
Filed under: Perkinsus olseni
Lineage: Eukaryota; Perkinsozoa; Perkinsida; Perkinsidae
Description: tRNA-Thr
Rfam family: tRNA
About the family: Transfer RNA (tRNA) molecules are approximately 80 nucleotides in length. Their secondary structure includes four short double-helical elements and three loops (D, anti-codon, and T loops).
Source: RNAcentral
GCCUGCUUAGCUUAGUUGGUAGAGCACCCGCUUAGUAAGCGGGAAGUCGUCGGUUCGACUCCGGCAGAAGGCU